RNAcentral lists this ribosomal RNA (494 nucleotides) under uncultured bacterium. RNAcentral's name for it is "partial 16S ribosomal RNA". It matches the Rfam family "Bacterial small subunit ribosomal RNA", at positions 28 to 507 of the family's 1533-position model. The record is from RNAcentral.
GACGAACGCUGGCGGCGUGCUUAACACAUGCAAGUCGAACGGUGAAGCGCCUUCCUUUUUGGUGGGUGUGGAUGAGUGGCGAACGGGUGAGUAACACGUGAGUAACCUGCCCCCUUCUUCUGGAUAACCGCAUGAAAGUGUGGCUAAUACGGGAUAUUCUGGGUCUGUCGCAUGAUGGGUCUGGGAAAGAUAUUGUUUCGGUGGGGGAUGGGCUCGCGGCCUAUCAGCUUGUUGGUGGGGUGAUGGCCUACCAAGGCGGUGACGGGUAGCCGGCCUGAGAGGGUGGACGGUCACACUGGGACGGGGACACGGCCCAGACUCCUACGGGAGGCAGCAGUGGGGAAUAUUGCACAAUGGGCGCAAGCCUGAUGCAGCGACGCCGCGUGAGGGAUGGAGGCCUUCGGGUUGUGAACCUCUUUCGCCAGUGAAGCAGGCCUGCCUCGUUUGUGGGUGGGUUGACGGUAGCUGGAUAAGAAGCGCCGGCUAACUACGUG